AAACCUAAACUGCUUCACGUUUCAAUUAUUAACUUCUGCACAAAUUUAGUCAUUGAUGACCUAUGCAGUACAACAUUUGAAUAGUGUGUUGCGGGAAAGAGCUGAGUAGAGGAGGAAAAAAUAAUAAUAAUAAUUUUGUGCAAUUAAUUCAUAGUUCUGCUGUGAUCACUGAUGCAAAAAGGCCUACUUUAUGCAUAAACAAACACCUCAACGCUUAGAACACAUGAUAUACGCUGUCAGAAUUAUUAUUAGUUGAGUGCUUUGAUGAGGACGUUUAGCUGGUCAGAAGAUAAACGAGAUGAUGGAGAAUCCUGAGUGUUCGCCUGGCACAGAAAAGCACCACAGAGUAAGAACGAGGUCCUCCUGCUACAGGGUACACUGGAAAAGUACAUAUUUCUUAUGGAAACCCACAAUCUUCUGAUUGGUGAUAAAGUGGACUCCCAUCGCUGCAAGGCGUCUUCAGCGAAUGAUGAUUCAUCCCGAUUUUCGGCUCCCUGCGUGAGAGGUCCUUCUUCUGUCGUGUCCUACGUCAGACUGUGCUUGCCCACUUCUCUACACAAAGCUGGGCCGGUAGAGUGUACAUGGCCAGGUCUUCUCUAUCUACAUAAUCGCCUUUGACAGGUUGUGUCGAACCCAAGCCUGUGCCAUGCCAGGAAUGAAUCAGCAUCUCCGCUGGAGGGCUCUGCAUAAGUGUAUCUCUUUCAUCCUGACAAGAUAAAAGAAUGAAAAGAGAAGCAAACCUGUGAAAUGUUCCUUCUUUUGUCUGGGCUUUAUAUGUUUCACUGUUGGUUUAAAUGGUAGUUUUAUGUUCUUUGCAGGCCUCAAAAAAUUGGCCCAUUUUCAGUCAUGUAAUCUACAAUGUAAUACACACAUCAAAUAAAAUCAACAGACUGAAAAAAUAUUGCCUCAUUCAUACUAU
Long non-coding RNA from Anguilla rostrata (American eel), 919 nucleotides. RefSeq lists it as uncharacterized. The record is from RefSeq and is a predicted model, not a curated record. NCBI's taxonomy places the organism in Eukaryota, Metazoa, Chordata, Actinopteri, Anguilliformes, Anguillidae. The transcript has 3 exons.